GCNNGUUACGAAUUCGCCCUUNGAGUUUGAUCAUGGCUCAGGACGAACGCUGGCGGCGUGCCUAACACAUGCAAGUCGAACGGCCCGCCCCAUCAGAUCCCUUCGGGGAGAAGAUGGGUUACCGGGCAGUGGCGGACGGGUGAGUAACGCGUGGAGAACCUAUCUUACAGUUGGGGAUAACCUGGCGAAAGUCGGACUAAUCCCGAAUACACUCUUUAAGUAGCAUUACUGAAAGAGGAAAGGUGCUACGGCAUCGCUGUAAGGUGGCUCCGCGUCGGAUUAGCCAGCUGGUGGGGUAACGGCUCACCAGGGCAACGAUCCGUAGCUGGUCUGAGAGGAUGAUCAGCCACACUGGGACUGAGACACGGCCCAGACUCCUACGGGAGGCAGCAGUGGGGAAUCUUCCGCAAUGGGCGAAAGCCUGACGGAGCAACGCCGCGUGAACGAAGAAGGCCUUCGGGUCGUAAAGUUCUGUCCUCAGGGAAGAACCCUCAUGGUAGGGAAUGACCAUGAGCUGACGGUACCUGGGAAGGAAGCCCUGGCUAACUACGUGCCAGCAGCCGCGGUAAUACGUAGAGGGCAAGCGUUGUCCGGAAUCACUGGGCGUAAAGGGUACGUAGGCGGAUAUAUAAGUCAAAUGUGAAAGGCACCGGCUUAACCGGUGAGCUGCAUUUGAAACUGUAUAUCUUGAGUUCAGGAGAGGAGAGCGGAAUUCCUGGUGUAGCGGUGGAAUGCGUAGAUAUCAGGAAGAACACCAGUGGCGAAGGCGGCUCUCUGGCCUGAAACUGACGCUCAGGUACGAAAGCUGGGGUAGCAAACGGU
RNAcentral lists this ribosomal RNA (822 nucleotides) under uncultured bacterium. RNAcentral describes it as "bacterial SSU rRNA". It matches the Rfam family "Bacterial small subunit ribosomal RNA", at positions 1 to 776 of the family's 1533-position model. The record is from RNAcentral.